UUCCCACCUUCCUUCCUUCCUAUAAAGAAACCACAGACCAUGGAAAGAAAAAAAACAAUUGUCCAACGUGACCCAGAGUGAGUCAGAGACAGGCUAGACCUUUUGAUAGAAAGUCCCAUGCUUCUUCGGUAGGUGAAAGAGUCCCGGAAGUCAGUUAUGUUCUGCCUUAAGACUGCCCCGUUUGGGGUAAAGAAGGUGCCUUUGAUGGUGGCAGUCCCCGGAUGGGCAGAAGGGAGCCCGCCACUCGGCCUGGGCAGGGAGUGACUAUGCAGGGCAGACUCAAGGAGGUGAGGGACUCGGGGCCGAGGGGGAUGGGAUGAAAAAGCCAGUCAGUGGCUCCUUUCUAUGUCCCGAGAAUGACCUCCUCUAAGCCACACCCAUUGUCACAUGCGGGAAUGGCACCCACGUUUUGACUCGGGGGCUAUGCUGUCCCAAGCCACAUCCUUCUGGGGUGCAGACAACCUCACAGACAGGUCAGAGGCAGUCUAAGUGACAGGAGGCUUCUUCUUCCCAAAGAGUUAGAACUGCAGCAGGAGGGACGAACGUUAGAUAUUAAGGGGAACAGCCUGUCUAGAGAGGACUCCUGGGCUUCAUGCCAAGGAGACUAUGGGCUCUUCUAACAGGGAAUUUUCCCAGCAGCUGUCUAGGAAGACGUUUACCCCGAGGCAAGGGAUUGGUCCCAGUGACCUCAGAAGUCUCCUCUGGGUUUAAGAUUUCUAUGAACUAAAGUCUAUGAGGAUGAAAUGUCUGCGCGUGCGAUUCUGGGGGCCUGGCUUGUCCCCUGUGGGCGGCACGAUCCUGAAGGACCUGUCAUCAUGUCAUCUGUGCAGUCGUACAUGCAAACAUGCCGGACGUCACUCUGUCGAACACGCACCGCGGAGGUAGUCCAGGCACGUUGGGUAGCACAAGUGACUACAUCUGGCCCCAGAGCGAGGGGAAGAAGGUGAGGGGAGCCCGAGGGGGAAAACGGGCCUCUUGGCAUCCAUCCCUGAGGAGGUGGCAUGGAGGAUGCUGGCUGAUACGGUGGCCCUACGGUGUGUGUUGAGACAACGUCUGGUGACACCUUCUCUCACCGUGAGAUGUGAGAGAACACACCCACCCGGAUGUGCCUGGGAUUCCCGUCACAGAUGAAAAACCCGAAUCUCGGCAAGACUGAAUUGCUAGACCAGGGUCAUUCCGCUAGGAAGCGGGACCUCCUGACGGCCAUGCUUUCUCCGCUAGUCCACUCUACCUACAUAUUCAGAUGUUAUUUUUCAAGCAAACCCUCUCAUCACUGGUCUGGGAAAACUCAGCAGAAUGUUAAGGAAGACCUGGCAAGUGCUUGAUUUCAAAGGUCAAAACGUGAGCCUCCCAUUUUACUUUGGUACUGAAGCCGGGCCGGGGGGUGGCGGGAGGGUGUGGGUCGGGAUGAUUGUUACAAGGUGGAUUCUGGGGCUGCUCUGUGGCAAGAGGUCUGCUAGUUUGCAGUCACUUUUCAGAGACAUUCCAGAUGACCUUUCCAAGGAGCCCAGAGACGUUUCUCCUGCCUUCUCACCCCAUCCUUACUGUACCUGGGAGAGCCAUGGGGCUCUGGGGUUGAAAUGGGGCAGGAGAGCAGGACACAGGGUAGAAAGUACCCUACUAAAUUGUUAAAUAAAUUACGGUUACCACACAAUGGCAUAUUAUGCUGCCAUUAACUGUAAUGUUUUCAGAGAAUAAUGACACAGCUCCGAUUCACAGCAGUGGGAGGGAAAGCAAGAGAAAGGGAGAGGAAGAAAGAACCCAAACAAAACACCAGGCAUUCCUCUCCGCUCUCCGCCAGUGGCCUGGCUCAAAACCUCACUCACUUUCCCGGCAAGCUGCCCAGUCUUGCAUCUCUUGAAGGAAAAUUGCAAUGGCCUUGGCCAUUCCUUGGCAUGUCCUCCUUCUCUUGGGGACCCUCCUGCCUCUCUGCUACCCCAUGGCUCCCAGAGCCGGCCACUGACCGCUGACGUGCUCCAGGGACAAGGAGCACUCCCCACCACUGCAGCUACAUCCUCACGGCAGGGAAAGGAGCCACUGGGGCCAGAUCAAUGUGUGUUUCUUAAACCCCGUCCUUUUCCAGAAGUCAGGCUUCCCUAAGUUCAAGAGUGGGUCUCCUUACCAGCAAGCCUAGUGUCAUCUCGCUGACACAUGUAAGACUGGCUCAGACUCUCCUCGAAGACGGACCCCAGUGAAAGCCACUGGCAGCGAAGAUUUGGCCGCAGAUACCCUACCUGGUGUGCCUCGCCCUGCAUCACUUCCUGUGCUUCAAACUCCUUGUCUAUUUGCCAGGCCCGUGGCUGGAGUGUGAUAUCCACCUAUGGCAACUCCUUCUGCUGCCCAGAUAGACUCAAGGCGGACUGCCAAGUCCCCAAGUUCAAGUUCUUCCCAAGCUGGCUCUUCUUUUUACAGCUUCCCCUCCCCCUCUCCCAGAGUGACUCCUCUCCCAAAGAACCGGUUCACGUGCUGAGUCCCCAGGACAUCUUGCAGAGUUUCACCACCCUAGCUGCUCUCCCUGGAACACCUGUCCCCACAGUCUUCUUGGCCUAUCCAAGCCCUGUGCAUCCUUCAAAGCUUCGGGAAGCCUCAAGUUUCUCCCCACCCCUCAUCGCUUCUCUUUCCUCCAAAGUCAGCCAGAAAGCAUUGUUUUUAGCACACGCUGCAUUGCUGUUGUUGGCUCUCUUGUUAUAGGACUGUGUCCUACUCUCCAUCGAAUUAGAGGCUCUUAGGUAAGAGUUCAGGAAUAAUCCCUGGCUCUUCGGCAUCCCGUGAUGGGCAGCAUGAUGCCUCUCCCUCAGUUCUGUGCUCGGCCUGAGUCAUGACAAGCAGGGGACAGGGGACAUGGGGAUGCCCAUGUGCUUUCCUCAGCGACUAGUCUGCCCUGCAUCAUGGCAUGAACCAACGCGCUUGGCUCCAUGAUUUGCCGUAACUGAUGGAGGUAAUGAAGAAGGGGGUGAACAGUUUGGGAAAGGCCCUGAAUGUUGGUCAUCUUGAACCCGCUGGGGAAAAAGCCAAUGUCACUGGGAGGUGGAUGAAAUGGGGCAGAAGGAUGAAGAAUGGUGGGGGAGGCCCCAGCUCUGUCAGUGAAGGACGUGGAACACAGAUGGACCUCGUGCAGGAGAGCUCCAAAGAGCUCUCACAGAUCACACAGAAUGCAUAUGGUAAGUGGCCAACUUCACAGGUCACACAGAAUGCAUAUGGUAAGUGGCCAACUGACAGCAAGAAUGAUCAGGAGCAGAAUGGGGUGGGGUGAGAAUCUCCCUGGAAAGUUCCGGAACAGGGCUCUUCCAGAAGGGGGUCAAACUUAUGGUGGUGCAUGUGGGGCCAGGCAGCAGACACUGUGGGCUUUGGGGACAGACCUGGGCUCAGGUCUUGCUCAACCACUUCCUAGUUCAGUGAUCUUGAACCUGUUAUUUAACCAUUCUGGCCCCGAUCUCCCCAGCUGUGGAAGGACACCGCUCAGGGCUGUGGUGAGAAUCAAUGAAACAAUGGAUGUGCAAAGUAUUCCACAAACUCCACCGCUUUGAAUAAACACCCGUGACCCUUGUUUCUGUUUUUGGAGAAACACUGCACAAGGACAUCAUCCCCUUGACAGCAGCCGGCUGCCCUGUGUAUGCUGGUGACAAAGGCUGGAGGCUCUGUGUCAGCCAGGUGAUGCAAGAUUCUUAGGACGGGGAAGCCCUCUGAGGUCCUGGCCUCUCAGGAGGAACUGGGUGCCACUGACCCUUGUCACUUUUCUCCCCAGUCUCUGAGCCCCACGCUUUCCAACUCACCUCCUACUUUCUCUCAUCCUGAGGGUGAUUUAAGGGCCAUUUCUGCUGCUCUUGGUGAUCCAUCCAGGUGCCCUUGGCAGGAAAGCAGGAGGGAAGGAGGAAAGCGGAAAGCUGGCCCUUGGGAGAGGAGGAGCAGGAGCCCGUGCCGAGGACCUUCCCCGGGCUGGAGCUCCGCAUUCUCCAGACUCUUCCCAUACCGGGUCUGGCCACCAUGAGGGGUAAAGUCCCCCCCCCCCCACCCUUCUUCUCCAGUGCUCUUCUGAACUGACAACCAGCCUCCGAAUAAAAAGUUGUAACUUCUUUUUCAGAGGAAGCUUCUUAAGCAGGCUGUGCCCCACCCUGUGCCUUCCCACCUUCUGUUUCUAUUCUUCUCUCUUUGUCUGAGACUCUGAGCUCCUGCAGAAAAGAUCCUGAGCUGCCAGGCAGCCUCUCUUAAGUAACAGGCAUGUUCACACCCCUGCACACGGAGCAGGAGGAGUGCUCUGGAGCUGGAUAAAAGGGACACGUGUGG
This is a long non-coding RNA of Mustela erminea (ermine), 4284 nucleotides long. RefSeq lists it as uncharacterized. Lineage: Eukaryota; Metazoa; Chordata; Mammalia; Carnivora; Mustelidae. The record is from RefSeq and is a predicted model, not a curated record. The transcript has 3 exons.